CCUACGGGGCGCAGCAGUGGGGAAUAUUGCACAAUGGGGGAAACCCUGAUGCAGCGACGCCGCGUGAGUGAAGAAGUAUCUCGGUACGUAAAGCUCUAUCAGCAGGGAAGAAAAUGAUGGUACCUGACUAAGAAGCCCCGGCUAACUACGUGCCAGCAGCCGCGGUAAUACGUAGGGGGCAAGCGUUAUCCGGAUUUACUGGGUGUAAAGGGAGCGUAGACGGCGAUGCAAGUCUGAAGUGAAAGGCGGGGGCCCAACCCCCGGACUGCUUUGGAAACUGUAUAGCUGGAGUGCAGGAGAGGUAA
RNAcentral lists this ribosomal RNA (305 nucleotides) under uncultured bacterium. RNAcentral describes it as "bacterial SSU rRNA". It matches the Rfam family "Bacterial small subunit ribosomal RNA", at positions 338 to 660 of the family's 1533-position model. The record is from RNAcentral.